GGAGGAUGCAAGCGUUAUCCGGAUUCAUUGGGUUUAAAGGGUGCGUAGGCGGAAUGAUAAGUUAGUGGUGAAAGCCCCCGGCUCAACCGGGGAACUGCCAUUAAAACUGUCAUUCUUGAGUAUAGUUGAAGUGGGCGGAAUGUAUCAUGUAGCGGUGAAAUGCUUAGAUAUGAUACAGAACACCGAUAGCGAAGGCAGCUUGCUAAACUAUAACUGACGCUCAGGCACGAAAGCGUGGGGGGAGCAAACAGGAUUAGAUACCCUGGUAGUCCACGCCGUAAACCGAUGAUCACUCGCUGUUGGCGAUACACAGUCAGCGGCUUAGGGAAACCCAUUAAGUGAUCCACCUGGGAGUACGGUCGCAAGAUUG
This 370-nucleotide ribosomal RNA is filed under the name uncultured organism. RNAcentral's name for it is "partial 16S ribosomal RNA". It matches the Rfam family "Bacterial small subunit ribosomal RNA", at positions 527 to 896 of the family's 1533-position model. The record is from RNAcentral.